This 213-nucleotide ribosomal RNA is filed under the name uncultured Thermovirga sp. RNAcentral describes it as "partial 16S ribosomal RNA". It matches the Rfam family "Bacterial small subunit ribosomal RNA", at positions 1172 to 1382 of the family's 1533-position model. The record is from RNAcentral. Lineage: Bacteria; Thermotogati; Synergistota; Synergistia; Synergistales; Thermovirgaceae.
GGGUGGGACGACGUCAAGUCAGCAUGGCCCUUAUGUCCAGGGCGACACACGUGCUACAAUGGCCGGCACAGCGGGAAGCGGAGGGGCGACCCUGAGCGGAUCCCUUGAAAGCCGGUCCCAGUUCGGAUUGCAGUCUGCAACUCGACUGCAUGAAGUUGGAAUCGCUAGUAAUCGCGGAUCAGCCAAGCCGCGGUGAAUACGUUCCCGGGCCUU